UCAGACGAUGCGUCAUGCAUAUCAAUAAGCGGAGGAAAAGAAACUAACUAGGAUUCCCUCAGUAGCGGCGAGUGAAGCGGGAAGAGCUCAAAUUUGAAAUCUUCAAGGGUUCUACCUUUACGAAUUGUAGUUUAAAGAAGUGUUUUCUGUUAGAGUUUUGGUAAAAGUUCUUUGGAAUAGGACAUCAUAGAGGGUGAGAAUCCCGUAUUUGACCGUUAUUUCUAGCUUUGUGAUACACUUUCAAAGAGUUGGAUUGUUUGGGAAUGCAGUCCAAAAUGGGUGGUAAAUUUCAUCUAAAGCUAAGUAUUGGCGAGAGACCGAUAGCGAACAAGUACCGUGAGGGAAAGAUGAAAAGAACUUUGAAAAGAGAGUUAAACAGUACGUGAAAUUGUCAAAAGGGAAGCGUUUGACACCAGUGUUGUUUUCUCGAAAAUCAAUUAAAAAAGGCAGGAUUUUGUGUUGUAUUGACUUUAUCAGCUUUCUGCACUCUUUUCUUGUCUUUUUUUAAUGCACUUUUCGUUUAACAAGUCAACAUCAAUUUCUUUUGUUGUAAAAGGGUCAUUGGAAGGUGGCUUUCUUUUCGGAGAAAGUGUUUAUAGCCUUUGGCCUCUGCAAUCGGAGAGAUUGAGGUCUGCAGCGUAGAUCCUUCGGGGUUAGAUACAUUUGUGCUAAGUUAUAGCCUUUCAUAGACAACUUGUUGACUAUGAUCAGUCAUGUAGCUUACUCGCUUAUGCUAUUUUACCUACGCUUAGGAUGUUGAUCUACAGAGCGAGAGU
Molecule: ribosomal RNA, 776 nt
Filed under: uncultured Neocallimastigales
Lineage: Eukaryota; Fungi; Neocallimastigomycota; Neocallimastigomycetes; Neocallimastigales
Description: partial large subunit ribosomal RNA
Rfam family: Eukaryotic large subunit ribosomal RNA
Source: RNAcentral